GAUUUUUAUGGAUUGAUUUUAUUUGGUUGAAAUGAGUUGAAAGGUAAUGAAAUUACAGUAUGAUGAUUUAUUUCAAUUGUCUCCAUUUACUCGAUUUAGAUAGUUUAGAUGGUAUCUGUUUACUCACUGAAAUUUUAUAAUCUCACCACCCUCAUUUCCUCACAUUUCAGGCUCGGGGAAUUCCAUAGUUAGCUGACUUUGACAAGGACCUUCAUUUGGACUCGAAUCGGUAAAAGCUGAAGGUUUUCAACUUUCGAUGCAUUUUGAUUAGAUGUGGGCCCACGUGUCACUGUAAAAGAAAUUUUAUGCUUUGGUUAUUUGCUUUAUAGUAUAUAUGAAUAUAAUUAACUUUUACGCUAUAAGAAUUAUGCACCAAUAGUUUUAUGAAAAUUAUUUUACAAGAAAAUAGUUUAUUUUAUUGAAUAUUUUUAUUAUAUUCAAAUGGUCAAAUUUUCACUUCAAAUGAACGUUUUAGAUAUAUAAUUUGUUUUUAAAUCAUUAAAUAUAUAUUUUCUGCUUACCUACUACAUUUUUAGCAAGUUUCGAGAUUUUUGACAAAAAAGACAAAAAUACCCCUGUGAGCUAGAAAACAAUAUGUUAUGUUUUGAUUUGAUAUUUGAUAACUAUUGCUCAUCGGGGAAGUGCAAAAGCUGAUACGAGAGUCUUGUGAGGUUUCGAUCAAUAUUCGGGGUAAAGAAUGUUUAUCGAGGCCUUGCCACAGUUGUCACGGGCUCGAUGGGGAGCUCCGGGUCAUGACAACAACCGUCGCGACGUCACGAUAAGCACUUAUUACCCGAAAUGCCGAUCGAAACCCCGCAAGACUUAGCAUCAGCUUCUGUAUCUCCCCGGUGAGCGAUAGUUAUUAAAUCUCGCAUUUCAAGAAAUCAUAAGUCGUUUCCAAAUCAAAACAAUAUAAUAUUAUUUUUUAACUCACAAGGGCAUUUUCGUCAUUUUUUUUCGAAAAUACUGAAACCUGCCAAAAACAUGGUGUGUAGGUGAAAAACACAUAUUUCAUAAUUAAAAGUAAAUUUAGAUAUCUAAAAUAAUUAUUUGAAAAGAAAUUAUAAUUGUUUGAAUAAAAUAAUAAUAUUCAAUGAAAUAAUCUAUUUUCUAAAUAGAAAAAAUAAUAUUUAUAGAGAAAUCCGUAAUUUAAUUUCUGUAGUGUAAAAGCUAAAUGUAUUCAUACGUACUUUAAAGCAGAUAACCGAAGUAUAAAAUUACUUUUACAGUGACACGUGGGCCUCCAAUUAACCAAUAAAGUGCGAGUUUGUGAACUUACAAUUUUGUCGAUGUAAGGCUAACUGAAGUCCUUGAUGCAAUCGGCUAUCUACCGGCUAUCCCGAGCCUGAAAUGUGGGAAAUUGAGGGUGGUGAAAUUAUAAAAUUCUAGUGAGUAAACAGAUACCAUCUAAACUAUCUAAAGGCAAGUAAAUGGAAACGAAUUAAAAUAUUCUUUUUCAAUAUAUGUUUCAUAACAUGAAUAUUCAGUUUACUCAAUUAAUCAAUAUGACUUAUAUAUCUCAUAAAACUUGGCUCUUGCCAAAAUCGUUCUCACCGGUACCUUCGUCAAGGUAUCCCACUAAAUAGCCAAGGCUGUUAAAUGUCCCAUACCCAUAAACAUGUUUUCGCAUCUUACACACAGCCGUUCCUUGGCGUUGGCUGAGUCUCACUCUCACGCGGUGGUUCACGUGAACUGCACUCAAAUCUUUACCUCUAGAGAAACCUUCCACACGGCUCUCUGAUUGAGGUAAGGUAUAUCUGAUUCUGUGCCCCCUCUUUAGGCUGGUCCACAGAACCUCCACUGCAAAGAUUAUGGAUUAUUUUAUCUACCACCUGAUUUAUAAAAUCUUUAUCUGCAUAACAUGGUAAUUUAUCGCAAUUUAGCCUCUCAAGGCUGAAUACAUAGUAUAUAUAAUUUUGAUACAAAUACUGACUUUGCCAUUCAUGCUCACAUAUUGCUAUAAGCCAUAUAAUUUAAAACACAAUUUAUAACACAAGCGGGCAGUCUCCAAUUACUCUACUUUCAAAACCAGUAUUCAAUUUUUCAGAAAAUUUAUAUUAUCAUUUUAUAAAAUCGCAAUUUCUCCUAAAACAUAGCAAUGUAUCAUUUAAACUCAUUUUCUAUAAAAUCACACAAAUGUAUAAAAUUACUCUAAAUAAUUAAGACGAUAGUAAGUUCACUCACAGUUCUAAGAGUCGACAUACUCCUAAUCCCAAUCUUCAAGCACAAUCUCUAUACUUUUACCAGCGUAAUUUGCUCACCACUUAUCCAUAAUGUGCAAUACAUAAUUCACCACAUUAAUGCUUAACCAUUAUAAAUCAAUUCAGGCUCGGUGUAUAUGCAUGAUAUGAUAUGCAACUUAUCCGACUACCGCUUAAAUGCAAUGCUGACCUAAUUCGGCCUAUUACCCUAUUAAAUGACAAUUGUGUCCGAUUUGGCUCCAAAUUACUCCAUUUCAUUUCCAAUACCUCAAUUCACCAAAUAUUAUUCAAAAAACAUCAAUUUUAGCAUCAAAACCCUCCCAUUUCUUUAUAACAUAAGCGGACAGUUUCCAAUUACUCUACUUUCAAAACCGAUAUUCAUUUUUCCAGAAAAUUUAUAUUAUCAUUUUAUAAAAUCACAAUUUCUCCUAAAACAUAGCAAUUUAUCAUUUAAACCCAUUUUCUAUAAAAUCACACAAAUGUACAAAACUACUCUAGAUAAUUAAGACGAUAAUAAGUUCACUCACAGUUCUAGGAGUCGACGUACUCCUAAUCCCAGUCUUCAAGCACAAUCUUUGUACUUUUACCAGUGUAAUUUGCUCACCACCUAUCCACAAUGUACAAUACAUAAUUCACCACAUUAAUGCUUGACCAUUAUAAAUCAAUUCAGGCUCGGUGUAUAUUCAUGAUAUGAUAUGUAACUUAUCCGACUAUCGCUUAAAUGCAGUGCUGACCUAAUUCAGCCUAUUACCCGAUUAAAUGACAAUUGUGUCCGAUUUGGCUCCGAAUUGCUCCAUUUCAUUUCUAAUACCUCAAUUCACUAAACAUUAUUCAAAUAACAUCAAUUUCAGCAUCAAAACCCUCCCAUUUCUUCAUGAAAAAAUUCAGCCAUCACAGUGCACUAACACCGUGAUUUUUCCUACUUAAUUUUCUCACCAUUAUUCAUCAUUUUCUAACCCAUUUCUCUUAAAAUAAUAACAAUCCAUCACCCACACACAUCAAGGAAGAUUCGGCCAUGAAGAUUCAUGUGGAAAAUGGAUUCUUCUCUUGUUGUUUUGCUUCUGAAUAUGCUAAACUAACUAAAAACACUAACAUAUCUUAAAAUCAAUUCAAUCCAACAUCUUUCUCUCUCCUUACCCAUUUUGACCAGCCAUGAAUUCAUCAUGAAAACAUGUAAUUUAAGCAUGAAAAAUAAGGAGAAAUGCUUAAGGAAAAUAGAUUUCAAGCUUAAGUUGAAAAAUCCUACCUUUUUCACUUGUUUUCCUUGAUUUUCCACACUUUUUCUCUUGAAAUUCUUCAGCUAGGGUUUGUUCUUCCUUUCUUUCCCUCUCUUCCUUGCUUGGCCGAAUAUUUGGAGAGAUAAUGGGCUGAUUUAUGCUGAUUUUUAAGUUAAAUAAUAAAAUAUCCUAAGCUUGACACAUGGCAUGUUUCCAUUGGUCCAUUUUUAAAACUUUAAAAAUUU
RNAcentral lists this long non-coding RNA (3663 nucleotides) under Theobroma cacao (cacao). RNAcentral's name for it is "long non-coding RNA (TCAC_LNC002564)". Lineage: Eukaryota; Viridiplantae; Streptophyta; Magnoliopsida; Malvales; Malvaceae. The record is from RNAcentral.